Molecule: ribosomal RNA, 301 nt
Filed under: uncultured bacterium
Lineage: Bacteria
Description: partial 16S ribosomal RNA
Rfam family: Bacterial small subunit ribosomal RNA
Source: RNAcentral
CAGCCGCCACGGGAAAACGUAGGGGGCAAGCGUUAUCCGGAAUUACUGGGUGUAAAGGGAGCGUAGACGGUUAAACAAGUCUGAAGUGAAAUGCCGGGGCUCAACCCCGGAGCUGCUUUGGGAACUGUAGAACUGGAGUGUCGGAGGGGUAAGCGGAAUUCCCAGUGUAGCGGUGAAAUGCGUAGAUAUUGGGAGGAACACCGGCGGCGAAGGCGGCUUACUGGACGACAACUGACGUUGAGGCUCGAAGGCGUGGGUAGCAAACAGGAUUAGAUACCCCCGUAGUCCCUGUCUCUUAUAC